Molecule: ribosomal RNA, 436 nt
Filed under: uncultured Coriobacteriaceae bacterium
Lineage: Bacteria; Bacillati; Actinomycetota; Coriobacteriia; Coriobacteriales; Coriobacteriaceae
Description: partial 16S ribosomal RNA
Rfam family: Bacterial small subunit ribosomal RNA
Source: RNAcentral
ACGGGAGGCAGCAGUGGGGAAUAUUGGGCAAUGGGCGAAAGCCUGACCCAGCAACGCCGCGUGAGGGAAGAAGGUUUUCGGAUUGUAAACCUCUGUCCUUGGUGACGAAGGAAGUGACGGUAGCCAAGGAGGAAGCUCCGGCUAACUACGUGCCAGCAGCCGCGGUAAUACGUAGGGAGCGAGCGUUAUCCGGAUUCAUUGGGCGUAAAGCGCGCGUAGGCGGCUUGCUAAGCGGAACCUCUAAUCCGAGGGCUCAACCCCCGGCCGGGUUCCGAACUGGCAGGCUCGAGUGCGGUAGGGGCAAGUGGAAUUCCAUGUGUAGCGGUGGAAUGCGCAGAUAUAUGGAAGAACACCGAUGGCGAAGGCAGCUUGCUGGGCCGACACUGACGCUGAGGUGCGAAAGCGUGGGGAGCGAACAGGAUUAGAUACCCUGGUA